AGAUUGAACGCUGGCGGCAGGCCUAACACAUGCAAGUCGAGCGGUAGAGAGGUGCUUGCAUCUCUUGAGAGCGGCGGACGGGUGAGUAAUGCCUAGGAAUCUGCCUAGUGGUGGGGGAUAACGUUCGGAAACGGACGCUAAUACCGCAUACGUCCUACGGGAGAAAGCGGGGGACCUUCGGGCCUCGCGCCAUUAGAUGAGCCUAGGUCGGAUUAGCUAGUUGGUGAGGUAAUGGCUCACCAAGGCGACGAUCCGUAACUGGUCUGAGAGGAUGAUCAGUCACACUGGAACUGAGACACGGUCCAGACUCCGUACGGGAGGCAGCAGGUGGGGAAUUAGUUGGACAAGUGGGG
This 353-nucleotide ribosomal RNA is filed under the name uncultured soil bacterium. RNAcentral's name for it is "bacterial SSU rRNA". It matches the Rfam family "Bacterial small subunit ribosomal RNA", at positions 26 to 377 of the family's 1533-position model. The record is from RNAcentral.